UCUCUCUCUCAAUGUUAACUGCUGUUUCAAGGAUGAAAUAUCUAAUAUCCCCACCAUUUGCACCCAUUUCCAAGGCCGCACCUUCUUUCCAUUUCUUCUGUUUACUCUCUAAAUCCAAAUUUCUUUCAUAUCCCAUUACUCUCUCAAAUCCCAUUUCUCUACCCCUUAAACCUCCGGCUAUGCUUUCAAUUUUUCCAAUUCAGAAUCGAUGUAUCCAUUCCAAUUCCUCACCCUCUCCCUCCUCUGGCGAGAUUCACGUUAUAGUUGGCCCCAUGUUCGCAGGAAAAACUACCACGCUUCUUCGUCGUAUCCAGUCUGAAGGCAGCAAUGGCAGGUUGAAAAUAUGCUUCAGUUGGAUAAAACGUUAAAAGGUCUUUGUUUUUCGGGGAGAAUGAGUGAAGCUUUGAGGCUAUUAUGGUGUACGGGAUUCAAAGUCGAUCAUGGUACCUAUGCUCUUCUGUUGCAAGAAUGCAUAUUCAGAAAACAGUAUAGGAAGGGGAAAAGAAUCCAUGCGCAAAUGGUUGUUGUGGGGUAUGUUGCCAAUGAAUAUCUGAAUACUAAGUUGUUGAUUUUGUAUGCAAAGUCUGGGGAUUUAAAGGCUGCAAACGUGUUGUUUGAUAUGGUGGUGGGGAAAAGCUUGAUUUCUUGGAAUGCAAUAAUCGCUGGAUAUGUGCAAAAGGGACAAGAAGAAAUAGGUCUUACAUUUUAUUACAAAAUGAGAGAAAAUGGUUUGACACCAGACCAGUAUACAUUUGCAUCAGUUUUUAGAGCUUGUGCUACUUUAGCGACACUGGAGCAUGGUAAGAAAGCCCAUGGUGUCAUGAUAAAGUGUCGUCUAAGAGAAAAUGUAGUAGUUAACAGUGCCCUCAUAGAUAUGUACUUCAAAUGCAGCAAUCUCUCUGAUGGGCAUAAGGUCUUUAGUAAAUCAUUAAACAGGAAUGUUGUUACCUGGACUUCAUUAAUAUCUGGGUAUGGCCAGCAUGGAAGAGUUGCAGAGGUUUUAGAAUCAUUUCAUAGGAUGAAAGAUGAAGGUUUCGGACCAAAUUAUGUUACUUUUCUUGCAGUUCUUUCCGCUUGUAGUCAUGGAGGUUUGAUUGAUGAAGCUUGGGAUUAUUUCUCAUCAAUGAAAAGAGAUUAUGGAAUCCAGCCCAGAGGGCAACACUAUGCAGCAAUGGUCGAUCUUUUAGGUCGUGCUGGCAGGUUACAAGAGGCUUAUGAGUUUGUACUGGAGGCACCUUGCCAGGAACACUCAGUUGUAUGGGGUGCUUUGCUUGGGGCUUGUAGGAUUCAUGGAGACAUGGACCUGGUAAAUUGUGCAGCUAAGAAGUACUUUGAAUUGGAUCCAGAAAACGCUGGAAAAUAUGUGGUCUUGUCUAAUACAUAUGCCGCAUUUGGGUUCUGGGAUGAUGUUGCAAAGGUUAGGAGUAUGAUGAGAGAUUCAGGAAUAUUGAAGGAACCUGCUUAUAGCAGGAUUGAAGUUCAAGGGGAGGUCCACUGCUUUCUAAUGGGUGAUAAAUCUCAUAGAAAAUAUGAGGAGAUAUGUAGGACAAUUAUCAAAAUGAUGCGCAUUUUAAGAGAUGCUGGCUAUGUUCCUGAUAUAAGUGACCAUUAAUUCAUGAAGAAGACUGAUAUGCUUUACAUUUUAGAUCCAAAAUCUCACCUCUCUUAUUGGCUGAGCUUCCCAUUGCAUUUCUGGGCUCAGGUUGUUAACUUGAGAAAUGUAGCAGUUAUAAAAUCAAACAGGGAUACAAGAUAUGGUUUGGAUUCAAUAGUGACACAUGAUGGGGUGAAACUGCCAUGUAUGGCACUGCCUAAUUUGUCAUCAUUUAGACAAAAAUUUGGCGCUGAUGCAUAUGAGCAGCUGGAUGUGAUUGGUAUUGACGAAGCACAAUUUUUUGAAGACCUAUAUGAUUUCUGCCGCGAAGCUGCUGAUCAUGAUGGAAAAACUUUAAUAGUUGCUGGUCUAGAUGGUAACUAUUUGAGGAGGAGUUUUGGUUCUGUACUUGAUAUAAUUCCUCUUGCUGAUUCGGUAACUAAGUUAACUGCACGGUGUGAACUUUGUGGAAAACGUGCUUUCUUUACCUUCAGAAAGACAGAGGAGACAAGGAUAGAACUUAUUGGUGGGGCUGAUGUCUACAUGCCUGUAUGUCGACACCACUAUGUCAGUGGACAAGCGGUUGUUGAAGCUGCUAGAAUUUUACUAGAGUCUCAGAAGGCUGAAUGUGGCUCUCAUAUGUAGUGCUUAUUCUUCUGAAAUGCGAUCACAGAAUGUUAAGCGGCGUUAAAAUUGCAUGUAUAUACCAUCGUAAGAUUGUAUUGCAUUUGAUUGCUUUGCAAGAUGCAUGGAAGGGAAGAAUCAGAGAGAGCAUCAAUCGUCUGAUUUCAAACUACACCUUAGAAAAUAGAAAGUGUGUUUACUUUGGAUUAAUCCAUGAUUACUGUUACACGUUUGUUGAGCGUGUAACUUAUUUCAGGGACUAGUAAAUGAUACCCUGUGAGAUGAAAAGAAUACAGUUCAUACAAGCCUCCGUUGAUAUACCUGGGCUGGAUAACAUCAAAUAAAACUUCAUGCAAAUCUCCAAACGUUACUGUUAUUUCAAUCAUAAAUAAAUGCUCUUCCUCCGUUGUACUGCUCUGGUGCCAUGGCACUUCUUUUGGAACAAACUUGGCAUCGAGUUUAAUUGUUCUAAUUGAGAAAGAACUUACAUCAUCAAAAAAUAGAUUACGG
RNAcentral lists this unclassified non-coding RNA (2728 nucleotides) under Hevea brasiliensis (rubber tree). Lineage: Eukaryota; Viridiplantae; Streptophyta; Magnoliopsida; Malpighiales; Euphorbiaceae. The record is from RNAcentral.